RNAcentral lists this ribosomal RNA (1422 nucleotides) under metagenome. RNAcentral describes it as "bacterial LSU rRNA". It matches the Rfam family "Bacterial large subunit ribosomal RNA", at positions 1488 to 2925 of the family's 2925-position model. The record is from RNAcentral.
CAAGCCGGGAAUGGAAAUACCGGUACAAGCUAAGGAGCAGUGUGAGAGGCAAAUCCCUCAUAUAAUGCGAGAGAGUGAAGCGUAGCGAACAUAAGGGUAGCGAAGUGUGUGGAGAGGCUGUCAGGAAAAGCCGCUAUUGUGUAUCAUGAACCCGUACCGUAAACCGACACAGGUGGAUGAGGAGAGAAUCCUAAGGCCGACGGAAGAAGCAUUGUUAAGGAAUUCGGCAAAAUGACCCCGUAACUUCGGGAGAAGGGGUGCCUGCGCAAGCAGGUCGCAGAGAAUUGGCCCAAGCAACUGUUUAGCAAAAACACAGGUUUAUGCGAAACCGAAAGGUGAAGUAUAUGAGCUGACGCCUGCCCGGUGCUGGAAGGUUAAGGGGAGUGCUUAGACUUUAGUCGAAGGUGCGAACUUAAGCCCCAGUAAACGGCGGCCGUAACGAUAACGGUCCUAAGGUAGCGAAAUUCCUUGUCGGGUAAGUUCCGACCCGCACGAAAGGCGUAAUGAUUUGGGCGCUGUCUCGACAAUGCAUCCGGUGAAAUUGAAGUACCAGUGAAGAUGCUGGUUACCCGCGCCAGGACGGAAAGACCCCAUGGAGCUUUACUCUAGUUUGAUGCUGGGAUUCGAUACUGCAUGUACAGGAUAGGCGGGAGACUGAGAAGUAGUGACGUCAGUUGCUACAGAGUCGCUGUUGGGAUACCGCCCCUGCAGUAUUGGGUUUCUAACCUGCGGCCGUAAGCCGGUCGGGGGACAACGUCAGGCGGGGAGUUUGACUGGGGCGGUCGCCUCCGAAAGGGUAUCGGAGGCGCUCAAAGGUUCCCUCAGAAUGGUCGGAAACCAUUCGAAGAGUGCAAAGGCAGAAGGGAGCUUGACUGCGAGACCGACGGGUCGAGCAGGUACGAAAGUAGGACUUAGUGAUCCGGUGGUAUGAAAGUGGGAUUGCCAUCGCUCAACGGAUAAAAGCUACCCUGGGAUAACAGGCUUAUCACUCCCAAGAGUUCACAUCGACGGAGUGGUUUGGCACCUCGAUGUCGGCUCAUCGCAUCCUGGGGCUGUAGCAGGUCCCAAGGGUUGGGCUGUUCGCCCAUUAAAGCGGUACGCGAGCUGGGUUCAGAACGUCGUGAGACAGUUCGGUCCCUAUCCGGCGCGGGCGUAGGAUAUCUGAAAGGAGCUGGCCUUAGUACGAGAGGACCGGGCUGGACGAACCGCUGGUUCACCUGUUGUCAUACCAAUGGCAUAGCAGGGUAGCCAAGUUUGGAAGGGAUAAACGCUGAAGGCAUCUAAGCGUGAAGCCCCCCUUAAGAUAAGAUAUCCCUGGAGUAAUCCAGUAAGACCCCUUGAAGACGACGAGGUAGAUAGGGCAGAGGUGGAAGUGUGGUAACACAUGCAGCUGACUGUCACUAAUAGGUCGAGGGCUUGAUC